UGGCCCAGAGGAAGCCAGGG
Molecule: non-coding RNA, 20 nt
Filed under: Mus musculus (house mouse)
Lineage: Eukaryota; Metazoa; Chordata; Mammalia; Rodentia; Muridae
Source: RNAcentral